This 724-nucleotide long non-coding RNA is filed under the name Mytilus galloprovincialis (Mediterranean mussel). Lineage: Eukaryota; Metazoa; Mollusca; Bivalvia; Mytilida; Mytilidae. The record is from RNAcentral.
CGGAAGUAACCAAUUAUCUCCCAUUCUACAUGCAAAAGUACAUAGAAACUAUAUAUUUUUGGAAUCAGUGUGAAAGAAGCUAUCAUAUGAGACCGGAAGUAGCAUAUUAUCUCCCUUACAUCACUCAAAAAGAUAAUUAAACCAUUAUUUAUAUCAUCAGUAUGAAGAAACUACCUUCUGAUCCAAAUUUCUUUGUUGUGGAAAGACUUUCAAUUGUUCUCUGAACAAUUGGUUUUUAAUUAUUAUUAUUUUUUUCUUCCGCCAAAUUUUGUUCUUGCGCAAAAUGUUUGUUUCGCAAUGUGUCGCUUAGAUAUUUCUCAUAUUGUAUCGUAUAGUGUAUGCGCUUUUAAAUUUCACCCUGCUAAGACGAACAAUUUUCUCUGUAAAGAUUAUCUCCUAUCACUGUUUAUCAUGUGUGUGUGUGUGUGCAUCUCCUUCGUAACAGAAAAAGAUAGCGACAAAAUUCUUUUUACAAAUUGUUCGUUACAUCCUCAGGAAUUUUUGGCUCAUUUGGGUCGAAGCGAUUCGCUGAAAUUUUAUAGGAGUUAUCUACCUUUACAAAAUAAAUUUGUCGGUAUGUUUUUUUAACUCAAAAACAGUUAACCGUAUAACCAUGGAAUGUUUUUAUUUGAGUCCCCUAUGUCCUAACUUAGAAAAUGAGGUCAAGGUCAAAGGUCAAGGUCAAGAUCUAAUUUGUGACUUUUGCUUGUUUUUGCAUUUUCUC